RNAcentral lists this antisense RNA (497 nucleotides) under Saccharothrix espanaensis DSM 44229. RNAcentral's name for it is "Saccharopolyspora sRNA 350". It matches the Rfam family "Saccharopolyspora sRNA 350". Lineage: Bacteria; Bacillati; Actinomycetota; Actinomycetes; Pseudonocardiales; Pseudonocardiaceae. The record is from Rfam by way of RNAcentral.
UUGGCGGUGAAGCCCCAGUCGCUCUCCUGGCCGGUGAGCACCUCGUCGCCGAAGUGGUCGCCGUCGGCCAGGGUGUCCAGCACGGUCUGGUCGCCGUACUCGCCCUCGCCGAUCCGGUUCACCUUGCCGUGCGCGAUCAGGAAGACCUCGUCGGCCCGCCCUCCCGCCUCGACCACCACGUCACCGGGCGCGUACUCGCGCUGCUCGAACCGAGCCGCCAGGGCAGUCAGCACCUCGUCGUCCGGGAAGUCCCGCAACGCCCGGAGCUCCCGCAGCUCCUGCGGGAUGACCCGGAUGUCCGCGCCGGUGCUGAUGAAGGUCACCCGACCGUCGCCCACCGCGUAGGUGAGCCGCCGGUUGACCCGGUAGGUGCCGGCCUGGGUCUGCACCCAGGGGAGUUUGCGCAGCAGCCACCGCGGUGAGAUGCCCUGCAUCUGCGGGGUGGACUUGGUCGUGGUCGCCAGGUUCCGCGCGCCCGCGGGGCUCAGGCUCUGCCG